AGCAGCCGCGGUAAUUCCAGCUCCAAUAGCGUAUAUUAAAGUUGUUGCAGUUAAAAAGCUCGUAGUUGAAUUUCGGGAUCAGUACGCUGGUCGUGCCUCCGGUAUGUACUGGUGUUACUGAUUCCUCCCUUCUGAAGAACCAUCAUGCCAUUCACUCGGUGUGGUGGGGAAUCAGGACUGUUACUUUGAAAAAUUAGAGUGUUUAAAGUAGGCUCGCGCUUGGAUACAUUAGCAUGGAAUAAUGAAAUAGGACGUUUAUCCUAUUUUGUUGGUUUCUAGGAUUGACGUAAUGAUUAAUAGGGAUAGUCGGGGGCAUUAGUAUUCAAUUGUCAGAGGUGAAAUUCUUGGAUUUAUUGAAGACUAACUACUGCGAAAGCAUUUGCCAAGGAUGUUUUCAUUAAUCAAGAACGAAAGUUAGGGGGAUCGAAGACGAUCAGAUACCGUCGUAGUCUUAACCAUAACUAUGCCGACUAGGGAUCGGAUGAUGUUAAUUUUUAAUGACUCAUUCGGCGCCUUAACC
Molecule: ribosomal RNA, 520 nt
Filed under: uncultured Glomeromycotina
Lineage: Eukaryota; Fungi; Glomeromycota
Description: SSU rRNA
Rfam family: Eukaryotic small subunit ribosomal RNA
Source: RNAcentral